AUCACAAAUUUAUAAAGCCUAGCAUAGUUUCGAAUGUAUCAUAGGCACUCAGUAAAUGUCUGAAUAAAUAAAUGAAAAAAUAAUGAAUUUUCUAUAAUUUGAAUAGAAGAAAAAUUGCACAAACAUCACACUAAAUAAUGUUGAGCUAAUAUUUUUAAGAAAACCUAUCACAUAGUAAACUUUUAAUAACUGUACAGUUUGGUUUUUUUUCCCAAUCUUCCUUUGCUCCCAAACUUACUAGCCAUGCCUUGUUACACAAUAAGUAGAAAAAAGAAAGUUAUAGAAACAGAUCAAUUUAAAAAAAAAAAAAAAACUCUCACAAAGAUGUGGAGAAAAGAUAUAAACUCCAAAAUCAAAACAAAGUAGCCUCUUAAGAUUAUCCAAGCCGGCCGCAUAGCUGAGAUUACAGGCAUGUACCACCAUGCCCGGCCCACAGAGUUUUCUCUUAAAUAAAUUUAAGUUUUAAAAAGAAGUCCAUUU
This 480-nucleotide long non-coding RNA is filed under the name Homo sapiens (human). RNAcentral describes it as "non-protein coding lnc-AP3M1-2:2". Lineage: Eukaryota; Metazoa; Chordata; Mammalia; Primates; Hominidae. The record is from RNAcentral.